CCUACGGGUGGCAGCAGUCGGGAAUAUUGGGCAAUGGAGGAGACUCUGACCCAGCAAUACCGCGUGAAGGAUGAAGGUUUUCUGAUUGUAAACUUCUGUUAUAAAGGGAGCAAAAAAUGACGGUACUUUAUCAGUAAACCCCGCCCAACUAUGUGCCAGCAGCCGCGGUUAUACAUAGGGGGCAAGCGUUGUCCGGAAUGACUGGGUGUAAAGGUUGUGUAGGUGGCUUAUUAAGUUAGCGGUGAAAGCCCGAAGCUCAACUUCGGAACUGCCUUUAAAACUGGUUGGCUUGAGUGUGGGAGAGGUUAGUGGAAUUCGUAGUGUAGCGGUGGAAUGCGUAGAUAUCAGGAAGAACAUCAGAGGCGAAGGCGACUAACUGGAACAUUACUGACACUGAAACACGAAAGCGUGGGGAGCGAACAGGAUUAGAUACCCGGGUAGUC
This 443-nucleotide ribosomal RNA is filed under the name uncultured bacterium. Its description in RNAcentral is "partial 16S ribosomal RNA". It matches the Rfam family "Bacterial small subunit ribosomal RNA", at positions 338 to 795 of the family's 1533-position model. The record is from RNAcentral.